AUUGAACGCUGGCGGCAGGCCUAACACAUGCAAGUCGAGCGGAUGAGAGGAGCUUGCUCCUUGAUUCAGCGGCGGACGGGUGAGUAAUGCCUAGGAAUCUGCCUGGUAGUGGGGGACAACGUUUCGAAAGGAACGCUAAUACCGCAUACGUCCUACGGGAGAAAGCAGGGGACCUUCGGGCCUUGCGCUAUCAGAUGAGCCUAGGUCGGAUUAGCUAGUAGGUGGGGUAAUGGCCCACCUAGGAGACGAUCCGUAACUGGUCUGAGAGGAUGAUCAGUCACACUGGAACUGAGACACGGACCAGACUCCUACGGGAGGCAGCAGUGGGGAAUAUUGGACAAUGGGCGAAAGCCUGAUCCAGCCAUGCCGCGUGUGUGAAGAAGGUCUUCGGAUUGUAAAGCACUUUAAGUUGGGAGGAAGGGCAGUGAGUUAAUACCUUGCUGUUUUGACGUUACCGACAGAAUAAGCACCGGCUAACUUCGUGCCAGCCGCCGCCGUAA
RNAcentral lists this ribosomal RNA (500 nucleotides) under uncultured bacterium. RNAcentral's name for it is "partial 16S ribosomal RNA". It matches the Rfam family "Bacterial small subunit ribosomal RNA", at positions 30 to 523 of the family's 1533-position model. The record is from RNAcentral.